Sapajus apella (tufted capuchin) is the source of this 319-nucleotide long non-coding RNA. RefSeq lists it as uncharacterized. The transcript is spliced from 3 exons. Lineage: Eukaryota; Metazoa; Chordata; Mammalia; Primates; Cebidae. The record is from RefSeq and is a predicted model, not a curated record.
AGCAAAGACAUGGAAUCAACUUAAAUGUCCAUCAAUGAUUGACUAGAUAAAGAAAAUGUCAUGCAUAUACACCAUGGCAUCCUAUGUAAUCAUAAAAAGAAUUAGAUCAUGUUUUUGCAGGGACAUGGAUGGAUUUAGAAGCCAUUGUCCUCAGUGAACUAAUGCAGGAACAGAAAACGAAACACUGCAUGUUCUCACUUACAAGUAGGAGAUGUAUUAUGAGAACACAUGGACACAUGGGGGAGAACAACACACACUGGGGGCUGCUGGAGGGGGUAUUGGGGUAGAUAGAGCAUCAGGAAGAGAGCAUCAGAAAGAA